AGGCUUUGAUCCUGGCUCAGGAUGAACGCUAGCGGCAGGCUUAAUACAUGCAAGUCGAACGGUAACAGGUCCAGCAAUGGACGCUGACGAGUGGCGCACGGGUGCGUAACACGUAUGCAACCUACCCUUUACAAGGGCAUAACCCUGAGAAAUCGGGGCUAAUACCCUAUAGUAUCCAUGAAGUGGCAUCACUUUAGGAUUAAAGUUUCGGCGGUAAAGGAUGGGCAUGCGCCCCAUUAGCUAGUUGGUAAGGUAACGGCUUACCAAGGCGAUGAUGGGUAGGGGUCCUGAGAGGGUUAUCCCCCACACUGGUACUGAGACACGGACCAGACUCCUACGGGAGGCAGCAGUAAGGAAUAUUGGGCAAUGGGCGAGAGCCUGACCCAGCCAUGCCGCGUGCAGGAAGACGGCCCUAUGGGUUGUAAACUGCUUUUAUACGGGAAUAAUAGCACCUACGUGUAGGUGUAUGCAAGUACCGUUAAGAAUAAGCAUCGGCGUACAUC
RNAcentral lists this ribosomal RNA (503 nucleotides) under uncultured Bacteroidota bacterium. Its description in RNAcentral is "bacterial SSU rRNA". It matches the Rfam family "Bacterial small subunit ribosomal RNA", at positions 8 to 504 of the family's 1533-position model. The record is from RNAcentral. Lineage: Bacteria; Pseudomonadati; Bacteroidota.